GAAUACUAUAUAAUAAUAUUGCAUUACUAUGUUUAGGAAGGGUACUUCAGUUGCCCUACAGUUAUGCAACUUAUUAGUUAUCAACCCAUAACUGCGAUAAAUACAAGUUUUUUUAAAAAGAAAAUAGGUUGUAUGACUUCGGUAUCCGCAAAACGGUAUUGUGCAUUGGUUCCCUUUCGUAUAGGUGAAAAUAGGAAAGGUUAUGUCCUUUUUUCUAAUUCUUAAGAAGAAGAGGCUUAAUCGGUUUAAGCAAUGAUGACGAUGAUCAUUAUGGGGCUGAUCAUGAUGACGAAUACGAUAAUCCAUAUAAUAAUAAAUAAAAAUUGAUUUUACUUAAAUGACUUUACUUGUAUUUUAGACUUAAAUAAAUAAAAAAUUAUUUAUUUAA
Molecule: long non-coding RNA, 388 nt
Organism: Hydra vulgaris (swiftwater hydra)
Lineage: Eukaryota; Metazoa; Cnidaria; Hydrozoa; Anthoathecata; Hydridae
Source: RefSeq, a predicted model, not a curated record